RNAcentral lists this ribosomal RNA (506 nucleotides) under Vibrio cholerae. Its description in RNAcentral is "bacterial SSU rRNA". It matches the Rfam family "Bacterial small subunit ribosomal RNA", at positions 56 to 552 of the family's 1533-position model. Lineage: Bacteria; Pseudomonadati; Pseudomonadota; Gammaproteobacteria; Vibrionales; Vibrionaceae. The record is from RNAcentral.
UGCAGUCGAGCGGCAGCACAGAGGAACUUGUUCCUUGGGUGGCGAGCGGCGGACGGGUGAGUAAUGCCUGGGAAAUUGCCCUGAUGUGGGGGAUAACCAUUGGAAACGAUGGCUAAUACCGCAUGAUGCCUACGGGCCAAAGAGGGGGACCUUCGGGCCUCUCGCGUCAGGAUAUGCCCAGGUGGGAUUAGCUAGUUGGUGAGGUAAUGGCUCACCAAGGCGACGAUCCCUAGCUGGUCUGAGAGGAUGAUCAGCCACACUGGAACUGAGACACGGUCCAGACUCCUACGGGAGGCAGCAGUGGGGAAUAUUGCACAAUGGGCGCAAGCCUGAUGCAGCCAUGCCGCGUGUAUGAAGAAGGCCUUCGGGUUGUAAAGUACUUUCAGUCGUGAGGAAGGUUGUAGUGUGAAUAGCACUAUGAUUUGACGUUAGCGACAGAAGAAGCACCGGCUAACUCCGUGCCAGCAGCCGCGGUAAUACGGAGGGAGCGAGCGUUAAUCGGAAUU